Non-coding RNA from Pelobates cultripes (western spadefoot toad), 426 nucleotides. The record is from the annotation of a GenBank genome assembly. Lineage: Eukaryota; Metazoa; Chordata; Amphibia; Anura; Pelobatidae.
AAAGGGUACCCCAAUAAAAUCUUAAAAAGAGCUUACUAACAAACAGCAGCACAAGAUAGAAGUGUAAGUCUGAGAACUACACGACCAAAGCAAGACUCUAAAUUAAUCCGCUGCAUAGGGACCUUCAACCAAUACUUGAACCAAUACUAAAAAUCAUGUCCCACAAUUGACCGAUCUUAAACUAUGACAAAGAUUUGAAGGACAACAUCAGCGAAGUCCCUAACAUUAAAGCAUGCACAGCCAGGAACCUGCAAGACUAUCUUGUACAUAGGCACACAGAACCUACAUGGUUAACACCUACAGCAGGAAUUUACCAAUGUGGACACUGCAAAGCUUGUAAAUAUAUUAAACCAUAUUAAACCAUAUUAAAGACUGUCUCCAGCACAAAAACAUCAAAAGGAAUACAAAAUCAAAGAUUUCAUUAAC